Molecule: ribosomal RNA, 1343 nt
Filed under: uncultured bacterium
Lineage: Bacteria
Description: 16S ribosomal RNA
Rfam family: Bacterial small subunit ribosomal RNA
Source: RNAcentral
GACGAACGCUGGCGGCGUGCUUAACACAUGCAAGUCGAACGGAAAGGCCCUGCUUUUGUGGGGUGCUCGAGUGGCGAACGGGUGAGUAACACGUGAGUAACCUGCCCUUGACUUUGGGAUAGCUUCAGGAAACUGGGGCUAAUACCGGAUAGGAGCUCCUGCUGCAUGGUGGGGGUUGGAAAGUUUCGGCGGUUGGGGAUGGACUCGCGGCUUAUCAGCUUGUUGGUGGGGUAGUGGCUUACCAAGGCUUUGACGGGUAGCCGGCCUGAGAGGGUGACCGGCCACAUUGGGACUGAGAUACGGCCCAGACUCCUACGGGAGGCAGCAGUGGGGAAUAUUGCACAAUGGGCGGAAGCCUGAUGCAGCAACGCCGCGUGCGGGAUGACGGCCUUCGGGUUGUAAACCGCUUUCGCCUGUGACGAAGCGUGAGUGACGGUAAUGGGUAAAGAAGCACCGGCUAACUACGUGCCAGCAGCCGCGGUGAUACGUAGGGUGCGAGCGUUGUCCGGAUUUAUUGGGCGUAAAGGGCUCGUAGGUGGUUGAUCGCGUCGGAAGUGUAAUCUUGGGGCUUAACCCUGAGCGUGCUUUCGAUACGGGUUGACUUGAGGAAGGUAGGGGAGAAUGGAAUUCCUGGUGGAGCGGUGGAAUGCGCAGAUAUCAGGAGGAACACCAGUGGCGAAGGCGGUUCUCUGGGCCUUUCCUGACGCUGAGGAGCGAAAGCGUGGGGAGCGAACAGGCUUAGAUACCCUGGUAGUCCACGCUGUAAACGGUGGGUACUAGGUGUGGGGUCCAUUCCACGGGUUCCGUGCCGUAGCUAACGCUUUAAGUACCCCGCCUGGGGAGUACGGCCGCAAGGCUAAAACUCAAAGGAAUUGACGGGGCCCCGCACAAGCGGCGGAGCAUGCGGAUUAAUUCGAUGCAACGCGUAGAACCUUACCUGGGUUUGACAUGGAUCGGGAGUGCUCAGAGAUGGGUGUGCCUCUUUUGGGGUCGGUUCACAGGUGGUGCAUGGCUGUCGUCAGCUCGUGUCGUGAGAUGUUGGGUUAAGUCCCGCAACGAGCGCAACCCUUGUUCACUGUUGCCAGCACGUUAUGGUGGGGACUCAGUGGAGACCGCCGGGGUCAACUCGGAGGAAGGUGGGGAUGACGUCAAGUCAUCAUGCCCCUUAUGUCCAGGGCUUCACGCAUGCUACAAUGGCUGGUACAGAGAGUGGCGAGUCUGUGAGGGUGAGCGAAUCUCGGAAAGCCGGUCUCAGUUCGGAUUGGGGUCUGCAACUCGACCUCAUGAAGUCGGAGUCGCUAGUAAUCGCAGAUCAGCAACGCUGCGGUGAAUACGUUCCCGGG